This 38-nucleotide ribosomal RNA is filed under the name Miconia solenifera. RNAcentral describes it as "Leandra solenifera partial 26S ribosomal RNA". Lineage: Eukaryota; Viridiplantae; Streptophyta; Magnoliopsida; Myrtales; Melastomataceae. The record is from RNAcentral.
GCGAUCCCAGGUCAGGCGGGGCCACCCGCUGAGUUUAA